RNAcentral lists this ribosomal RNA (489 nucleotides) under uncultured bacterium. RNAcentral describes it as "partial 16S ribosomal RNA". It matches the Rfam family "Bacterial small subunit ribosomal RNA", at positions 29 to 506 of the family's 1533-position model. The record is from RNAcentral.
AGUGAACGCUGGCGGCAGGCCUAACACAUGCAAGUCGAACGGCAGCACAAGAGAGCUUGCUCUCUGGGUGGCGAGUGGCGGACGGGUGAGGAAUGCAUCGGAAUCUGCCCAUUUGUGGGGGAUAACCUCGGGAAACCGGGACUAAUACCGCAUACGACCUACGGGUGAAAGCAGGGGAUCUUCGGACCUUGCGCAGAUGGAUGAGCCGAUGCCGGAUUAGCUAGUUGGAGGGGUAAAGGCCCACCAAGGCGACGAUCCGUAGUUGGUCUGAGAGGAUGAUCAGCCACACUGGGACUGAGACCCGGCCCAGACCCCUACGGGAGGCAGCAGGGGGGAAUUUUGGAAAAUGGGCGAAAGCCUGAUCCAGCCAUGCCGCGUGUGUGAAAAAGGCCUUGGGGUUGUAAAGCACUUUUGUUGGGAAAAAAAAGCAGCCGGUUAAUACCCGGUUUUCAUGACGGUACCAAAAAAAUAAGCACCGGCUAACUUCGU